ACCUGUUCAAGCCCCGCCCCUUCAGCCACGAUCAACACGAUCACGUUGCCAAACGCCACGGAGAACUCCAGGCCCGUGAUGGAGAACAUGACCUCCCCCAUGGUGAGGAGGACGUACUGGGGGAUCUGCCAGGCGAUGUGCACGUCGUUGGCCUCUACGUCCUCCAUCUUGUGAGCCACGACCUUCCCCGCGUCCUGAGGAGACACGGAGGGUUCAGUCGGGGUCAGAGGUCAGGGGGUAAAACGUGGACCAGCCUCCCGACCUCGGUGAGGACGACAGUGUACGACGCUCCAAAGUCCAGCAGGCCCAGGUCCACGUGCGAGCAGAAGCCCGCAGCCGAGCAGCAGCUCACAUCUGGAUACCUACGGAGACAGGAAGUGAAGAUCUCAC
Gasterosteus aculeatus aculeatus (three-spined stickleback) is the source of this 390-nucleotide long non-coding RNA. Lineage: Eukaryota; Metazoa; Chordata; Actinopteri; Perciformes; Gasterosteidae. The record is from Ensembl.